Ornithorhynchus anatinus (platypus) is the source of this 72-nucleotide non-coding RNA. The record is from Rfam. NCBI's taxonomy places the organism in Eukaryota, Metazoa, Chordata, Mammalia, Monotremata, Ornithorhynchidae.
AGCAGUGUGGCUUAGUGGAAAGAGCACGGGUUUGGGAGUCAUAGGUCAUGGGUUCUAAUCCCGACUCUGCCA